GGCUGGCUCAGUUGGUAGAGCAUGUGACUCUUGAUCUUGGGGCUGUGGGUUUGAGCCCCACAUUGGCUG
RNAcentral lists this transfer RNA (69 nucleotides) under Ursus americanus (American black bear). It matches the Rfam family "tRNA". Rfam says of the family: Transfer RNA (tRNA) molecules are approximately 80 nucleotides in length. Their secondary structure includes four short double-helical elements and three loops (D, anti-codon, and T loops). Further hydrogen bonds mediate the characteristic L-shaped molecular structure. tRNAs have two regions of fundamental functional importance: the anti-codon, which is responsible for specific mRNA codon recognition, and the 3' end, to which the tRNAs corresponding amino acid is attached (by aminoacyl-tRNA synthetases). tRNAs cope with the degeneracy of the genetic code in two manners: having more than one tRNA (with a specific anti-codon) for a particular amino acid; and 'wobble' base-pairing, i.e. permitting non-standard base-pairing at the 3rd anti-codon position. RNAcentral also lists the same sequence under 1 other name. Lineage: Eukaryota; Metazoa; Chordata; Mammalia; Carnivora; Ursidae. The record is from Rfam by way of RNAcentral.